Molecule: ribosomal RNA, 253 nt
Filed under: uncultured bacterium
Lineage: Bacteria
Description: partial 16S ribosomal RNA
Rfam family: Archaeal small subunit ribosomal RNA
Source: RNAcentral
UACCAGCACCCCGAGUGGUCGGGACGAUUAUUGGGCCUAAAGCAUCCGUAGCCGGUUUUACAAGUCCUCCGUUAAAUCCAACUGCUUAACAGAUGGGCCGCGGAGGAUACUAUAAGACUAGGAGGCAGGAGAGGCAAGCGGUACUCAGUGGGUAGGGGUAAAAUCCUCUGAUCCAUUGAAGACCACCAGUGGCGAAGGCGGCUUGCCAGAACGCGCUCGACGGUGAGGGAUGAAAGCCAGGGGAGCAAACGGG